UGCGUAGGUGGUUUCUUAAGUCAGGAGUGAAAGGCUACGGCUCAACCGUAGUAAGCUCUUGAAACUGGGAAACUUGAGUGCAGGAGAGGAAAGUGGAAUUCCUAGUGUAGCGGUGAAAUGCGUAGAUAUUAGGAGGAACACCAGUAGCGAAGGCGGCUUUCUGGACUGUAACUGACACUGAGGCACGAAAGCGUGGGGAGGCAAACAA
Molecule: ribosomal RNA, 208 nt
Filed under: uncultured bacterium
Lineage: Bacteria
Description: partial 16S ribosomal RNA
Rfam family: Bacterial small subunit ribosomal RNA
Source: RNAcentral